GACGAACGCUGGCGGCGGGCCUAACACAUGCAAGUCGAGCGGAGCGGCGGACGGGGAAGUAAUGCCUAGGAAUCUGCCUGGGAGUGGGGGAUACCGUCCGGAACCGGGCGCUAUUAUCGCAUACUACCAGCUGAGAAUAGGUCGGAUUAGCUAGUUGGUGGGGUAAGGGCUUACCAAGGCGACGAUCCGUAACCGGUCUGAGAGGAUGAUCAGUCACACUGGAACUGAGACACGGUCCAGACUCCUACGGGAGGCAGCAGUGGGGAAUAUUGGACAAUGGGCGAAAGCCUGAGCCAGCCAUGCCGCGUGUGUGAAGAAGGUCUUCGGAUUGUAAAGCACUUUAAGUUGGGAGGCGUUACCAACAGAAUAAGCACCGGCUAACUUCGUGCCAGCAGCCGCGGUAAUUC
Molecule: ribosomal RNA, 407 nt
Filed under: uncultured bacterium
Lineage: Bacteria
Description: partial 16S ribosomal RNA
Rfam family: Bacterial small subunit ribosomal RNA
Source: RNAcentral